CUCUCCAGAGCUGCAGAGGACCCCUGAGACUACCCUUGACUGAAGGUUCAAAAGGGUCUUGCUACAUAGUUCAGGCUGGCUGCAAACCUACAGAAGUCCUCCUGCCUCAGCCUCCCAAUGACUUACAGGAAAGGAGAGGAAUUCCCUACAUGUCCUGCGAUGGAACUGGAAUUGGAAUCUGGAAUCUGAGACCCUAAAGCCUUCUCCCUUAGGGCCCGACUCAUUCUUCUUCAAGAGCAGGGCCAUACUGGAGCCAUAGAGGUGGAAGAGUGCCAUAGAGCUCCUAUCACUAACUAUCAGGGAAAUGCAAAUCAAAACCACAGUGAACUGGCCGGGAAUAUGGCUCAGGGGCACAGCACCUGCCUGGCAAACAUGAGUUUGAUCCCUGGAACAACAACAACAAGAAACAACCCACAGUGAACUAUCAUCUCAUCUCCUUCCAGUUACAUGACUAUUAUAAGAAAAGACAAAGAAUAACACAAAGUGCUGGUGAAGAUGUGGAGAAAGGGGAGCUCUCCUAAGUGAAUAUAGCCAUUAUGGAAAACAGCAAGGAGAUUCCCAAAAGAAACUUAAAAUAAAACUCCCAUAUGGUCCAGCAGUUCUGCUCUGGAGCGCCUAUCCCAGGAAAAGAGACUAGUAUCUCAGAAACAUUGUACACUGAUGUGUUCUGCAAUACCACACACAACAGCCAAGAAAUAGAAUCAACCAAGGUAUCCACUGAUGACAGAGUGGAUGAA
This is a long non-coding RNA of Cavia porcellus (domestic guinea pig), 737 nucleotides long. RefSeq lists it as uncharacterized. NCBI's taxonomy places the organism in Eukaryota, Metazoa, Chordata, Mammalia, Rodentia, Caviidae. The record is from RefSeq and is a predicted model, not a curated record. The transcript has 4 exons.